This 81-nucleotide transfer RNA is filed under the name Glycine max (soybean). RNAcentral describes it as "tRNA-Ile". Lineage: Eukaryota; Viridiplantae; Streptophyta; Magnoliopsida; Fabales; Fabaceae. The record is from RNAcentral.
GACCUAUUAGCUUAGUUGGUUAGAGCAUCGUGCUAAUAACACGAAAGUCACAUGUUCGAUUGCCAAUCCGUAUGAGGCUUA